UAUUAAAGUUGCAAAAGGAAAACGGUUCUGUCAGCCACAUAAGGCUUAAAAUACUACGGUGUGGUUAUCACUUUUGAUAUAAUUCAUGGUCUGAGUAAAAAUCUAAAUAGAAGCAUUUGUAUUCUAACACUUUUUUAAAAUAAAUGCCAACGCCGGAUAUUUUGUUCGUAGUUUUGCUAAAAUCAAAUCACAUGGAAUUGUGCGUGGUAUUUUUUUUAGCGUGUGUUUGAUAUGCUCACAAACACAUUCUCUCGCUCUAUUCCAAAGUGCGCUGCUGCCAAAGAAAACGAACAGUCCCAAUUUUAUUUAGUGAAACAUAGAGCAAAUAUUGGAUAAAUUUGCUAUUUGUGGUGAUAAUCAAGUGGUAAUAAAGUGUAAAAAGUAGUUUACGUACCUAAUUUGUCGUAUCAUACACGAUAAAGAGAAGAAACAGGCGAUCCAAAAAAUUCCGGCGAGUGCUCAUCAGAAUCAGCUGCCACCGUUUCGGUCACUGUAUCAUAUUUUCGCGUAGUGAGUUACUACUUGCAUCACAAGUUCGCCGCUACUUAGCUCCAGCCGCUCCAGUAGAACCGGGUCUUGCUGUUCCCGGUUUAGCGGUUGAUAAUACCAGAGCAGGUUCGCCGCUACUUAGCUUCAGCCGCUCCAGUAGAACCGGGUCUUGCUGUUCCCGGUUUAGCAUCUAAACUACAGUAUCCCCCCGCUUAUCCGGACCUCGCUAGUCCGACGACUCGUUAGUCCGGAUCUCGCUAAUUCGGAAUUUUCCGGAUUAAAAAGUAUCAACACCCAUUUAAACACAUUAUGCUGUCAGUUUUCAAAUUUGUGCUGUGAUUUUGUUUUGAUUCAUUUGUAUGGAUUUGACAGUCGGAUUAACGAGAGAAACCCCGAUAGUCCGGCAAUACAUUUGUCGGAUCAGCGGGGGUAUACUGUAACUGAUUCAUACAAGACCGGACGAACGUUCGGAAUUCAUGAAAACUAAACGUCUUGUGGCAUUUUAUGAAUACACGAAGAAAUGGAUGAAUCCAUCAUUGCCAGCAUCGCAGCGGAAUUAUUGAACUACCUAUCCCCCAAGAAAAAAAAAUAGCAGCUCUGCUUCUUUCAAAUGGGCGGGAUUGAUGCUAAAACCUAAAACCAUCAAACACGCCGUUAAAACGAAUAAUCUGUUGCCCUAUUGCCCUAUCCAAAACCAUGAUGAGGCAGAGCUGAAAGCCCAGAGGUCAGUUGAACUGGAGAUAGAUCUCCGAAUGAAGGGAUUUUAUUCUAGAGCAGGCUAAAACCUAGUCCAAAAUUGCGGCUAUUUAACGCUGGCUGAAGAAAAUGGUCAAUAAAAUCGAGCAACUUGAUAAGGAUUCCAAACAGUUGUCGGAAAGAAUGUAAAAUGAAGGGAUCUGCAAUCUAAGUGGAUGAAUUGGUUUCGGCACUGGAUGUGGUUGCAGCCAAAGCAACCGAACUAAGUUGCAGACAUGCAACAGUUCAAGGGACUUCCCGUGAUACUAUGACUUCAUGAAUCCGGGACAUUACUGAGCUAUUUGCCUAGACAAAAAGGUCCCUGAAACAAUCGUCAACUACCCAUACCCGGUUUAAAAGGUGAUGCAAACCAAAUUCUGGAUCAUGGCAUACUUCCCCUUCCCUACUGAGUAUCCCAGCGGUUGAAAUCUUGGAAGAACCAUACACAGCGGGUGCCGAGAACCAGAACUUCGAUUCAAUUUAAUGUUAGUCAGUGUGGUACAUACUGCAUGGCUUCUGUUUUACCGGUCCAACAUAAACUGUUAGUAACCAGUAGCUCAAACAAUUUUAGUACAGCGCUAGAUCUUUUUGACCCUUCCUUCGGAAGUGUAUAUAAUUUCGCUUUGUAUGCGUUACUCAGGCGUGUUACGUAUUAAUCUACCAAUAAAUCUCUUGAAUUAUUAAAUAAAAUGUGUGGUAUUAGGAACAAAUUCACUUUAAUAUUGAAAAUAUGAUUAUGACAAAUGAUAUGGUAUGGAAAUAUGCAUAUUUUUCUGAUUUGUUUCAAAGAAACAAUUGAUUUUAAUUGAGGAACAUAUAGAAGCAUGUACCAAACAAUCUUCUCAGAAAAGCAAAAACGUAAAAAUUUAAAGGGAUUUCAAAAAUUUCUUCAGUGGAAACUAGAUAGCAAAUGUGAGCAUGUUUUGAGACACCAAUAGACCACUAAAAUUCACUACCAUACAAAUCUAGCUCAUUUUUAAGGUAUUAAACAAGAUUAGUUUUACAAAAUUAUGCAUCCAUGUGGCGAAAUAUAUGUUAUUAUUGAACGCUAUUGACUUUCGUUCAGAUCAAUGACUGAUUUAGUUAGUUCUGGAAUAAUUAAUAUCGAGGUCUCUGGAAAUUACGGGUACAAUAUAUGCUACCAGCGUUACGAUAGUUACUAACCAUGUUACAAUACCUAUUUAAUCCGACGUGCGCUUGAUAGAUAGGCAGCAUGACAUACAGUGCGUAUUCGUUCAUUUUGUUGUUACUCAACACAUGGAAUCCGCCUUUGGGUAGGCAAUUAAUUUUUCACGUUAUAUGUUCAAUCGCGGUGGGAAGUUGAUUACUUUAAUCUCGUUUUAAAUACUGGAGUCUGACAAUAUUUUCUUACGACUAAGGAAGGGUCAAAAUCUCACUGUAGGUGGAUUAAUCAGGGUUUUUUUUUUUAUUUCGAAUUAAUCAUAGAUUAUGUACUAGCUAUAUUUAUUUGAAAAGCUAUUUUAAUAAAAAUGAUGAAUA
This is a long non-coding RNA of Armigeres subalbatus, 2724 nucleotides long. RefSeq lists it as uncharacterized. The transcript has 5 exons. Lineage: Eukaryota; Metazoa; Arthropoda; Insecta; Diptera; Culicidae. The record is from RefSeq and is a predicted model, not a curated record.